CCUUCCCAAUUCCUAUUUAGGGUUUUCUCCGUGUCACACUAUAAAUACCCGCCUCUAGAAUUUGGGAGUCAUCGUCUUCUUUUUCCUCCUCCCUUUAGAUCUGUGUUCACACUGUAAUUAUAGCUUGGGUUGGUUUUGGGUGAAAACCCAAUUUCUAUUCCGCUCUGUUUUAUCAAAUCUGUGAUGAGAAUAAUACUGCAACAAUAUGAAUGGAGAUACGCUAUCUCCACCUUCCAUGUUUACUUGUAUUUAAGUCUCUGAUGAUUUGCUUCAAUUCUUCAUUCCCCUCUUUGGGUUUUUUUUUCUCUCUCUCAAAAUUAUUUGUAGGCGUGAUGAGCAACUUAUUGGUCCGUGUUUCUGAAUUUACCGUGACCGACAAACCUUAACCAACUCUGAUCUCUUAUGUUUUACUUCACUUCUUUGCCGAUUUUGAUCUUUACCGUGUAAAAGUUUGUUUCUUUUGAUCUUUUACCAUGAAAGAUUGUUUCUUUUUUAAAAUUACUCGUGGGCGUGAUGAGGAACUUAUUGGUCCGUGUUUCUGAAUUUACAUUGACGAAAAACCUUAACCAACUCUGAUCUCACGAUUAUGAAAGUUUGUAGCUUUUUCGUGUUUUGUUUCGAUGAUUUGAACUUUGUGUUUUACUGUGGUUGUUGCUCUGUGAUUUUUGCCUUGAAUAGGCAUAUACGCUAUUCUGAUUCAUAUCAUGAAUGGAUAAGUUUUGAAAGCUGAGAGCUUCCUACUGCUAAUUUUGUUUUUGUGUACUGUUCUGCGGUGAUGAAUUAUGGAUUAAAUUCACAUGUCAGACUUCAGAGAUUGUAAAAAAUCAAUGAGAAUGAAACUUCCUAGCGUCUGAGCAGAUUGAAUUUUACUUGUUUUCUUUGUUUGUUGAUACAAUGUGGCGUGAGAUUUCUCUUCGGAAUUCUCAAGCUUUUCAGUGGGAGCAAACAGUUUGUGUGUUUGUAAGAUCCCAAGUAAGCGUCACAAACAAAGCCUGGUAUCGUUGACGGUGCUUUUAUUAGUAUCUCCGAGAAGGGCGGCCUCAUAUUCCAUUGCCUUGUGGAGCGGCGUUGCUGCCUUUACUAUUUGGGACUGGCCAUGAGGCAUACAUUUUUUGUUACUUCAGUUUGUUUUUUGUUUUCUGUUUUUGUGGUUUGUUGGUCUUUGUUUUGUUUAUGUCAUGGAAAAAGGGUUGGAGGCGUGGAGUAUGAAUAAUGCAGUUUUGGACUGUAAACUGGAUGGGAUGGGAAGAAUGGCACGAAAAUGAUAAAAUAUUGUUGCUCGUGCCAUUUUCCCAUCACAUCUUGUUUACAAUGUUUGUUCGUGAAGUCGAAGAUGCCAAGAUUGAAGUAUUGCUCCAGCUAUUGUAUUUAGAGUUCGACAGCCAAUAUAUAAGAUGUUUGGAUUGUGGUAUAUAAGUUUGUGAUCAAAGCAUGAUAGGAAGAAUGAAUCACGUGCCCCUUGUGUCGUUACUCAAUGCCAACUGAGGGAGAGGAAGGAACAUUCAGAUUCUAAACAGAGGCCGAAGGGAAAGCAUCUCUUUAAUGAUGCAAAUUUGUCAGCUAAUCCAUUAGCUAAUGUAGGAAAAAUGGGAAGAAUGGCUCGGAAGUAUUGUUGACGGUGCUUGUACUAGUAUCGCCGAGAAGGGCGGCCUCAUAUCCCCUUGCCUUGUAGAGCGGCAUUGCUGCCUUUACUAUUUGGGACUGGCCAUGAGGCACACACUUUUGCACUUCAGUUUUCCCUUUUGGUGGCUUGGAGUAUGAAGAAUGGCACGGUGAUGGUUUGUUGAUUACUGUUGCUCUUGCCAUUUUUCCAGCACAUCAUGUUUACAAAGUUUGAUGAAUUGCUCCAGCUUGAUCAUUGUAAUCCUAUUGUAUCUGGAGUUUGACAGCCUACAUAUAAGAUUUUUGGUCUGCGGUAUUAGUUUGUGCAAUUUCUUUGAUGUUCAUACAUAAUCAGAUGAUUCAGAUCCAUAUCAGGGCCAUGAACUAUUUGGCACCUUCAGCCAAUUCCUAAUGUAGCAAGAUUGUUAAUAAAAAAAAAAAUGUUUCAGAA
Rosa rugosa (rugosa rose) is the source of this 2053-nucleotide long non-coding RNA. RefSeq lists it as uncharacterized. The record is from RefSeq and is a predicted model, not a curated record. The transcript has 2 exons. NCBI's taxonomy places the organism in Eukaryota, Viridiplantae, Streptophyta, Magnoliopsida, Rosales, Rosaceae.